RNAcentral lists this ribosomal RNA (171 nucleotides) under uncultured bacterium. Its description in RNAcentral is "partial 16S ribosomal RNA". The stretch from base 1 to 79 matches the Rfam family "Bacterial small subunit ribosomal RNA", at positions 796 to 873 of the family's 1533-position model. The record is from RNAcentral.
CACGCCGUAAACGGUGGGUACUAGGUGUGGGUUCCUUCCUUGGGAUCCGUGCCGUAGCUAACGCAUUAAGUACCCCGCCUGGGGANUGCAACGCGAAGAACCUUACCUGGGUUUGACAUGCACAGGACGCUGGUAGAGAUAUCAGUUCCCUUGUGGCCUGUGUGCAGGUGG